UACGGAGGGAGCUAGCGUUGUUCGGAAUUACUGGGCGUAAAGCGCACGUAGGCGGCUUUGUAAGUUAGAGGUGAAAGCCCGGGGCUCAACUCCGGAAUAGCCUUUAAGACUGCAUCGCUUGAAUCCAGGAGAGGUGAGUGGAAUUCCGAGUGUAGAGGUGAAAUUCGUAGAUAUUCGGAAGAACACCAGUGGCGAAGGCGGCUCACUGGACUGGUAUUGACGCUGAGGUGCGAAAGCGUGGGUAGCAAACAGG
RNAcentral lists this ribosomal RNA (253 nucleotides) under uncultured bacterium. Its description in RNAcentral is "partial 16S ribosomal RNA". It matches the Rfam family "Bacterial small subunit ribosomal RNA", at positions 524 to 776 of the family's 1533-position model. The record is from RNAcentral.